Molecule: long non-coding RNA, 656 nt
Filed under: Mytilus galloprovincialis (Mediterranean mussel)
Lineage: Eukaryota; Metazoa; Mollusca; Bivalvia; Mytilida; Mytilidae
Source: RNAcentral
CCCAGGAGCUUUGUUGUUUUUAAGUUUUUUAAUGGCUGCUUUGAUCUCAUCAUCUGUUAUGGGUCCCAUUUCUAUUUCUAUUGGUGGUGGAGCUUUCUCUGUCCUGUCAACUGAGAUUUCUGGUUCAGGCCUAUUCAACACCUCUUCAAAAUGCUCUUUCCAUCUUUCCAGUUGUUUCUCAAAUUUGCAUAUUGUCUGACCAUCUUUAUCUUUGAUGUUAGUACUGUUGGUAUUUACUCUGCCACUAAGCUGUUUUGUAAUGUUAUAUAGCUUUCUCAUAUCUCCAACUUUAGAUGCAUUUUCAGCCUCUUCUGCUAUCUUAUCUAUGUAUGCCUUUUUGUCUGCCUUUGCAUUCUUUUUCACUUCUUUUUCCUUACUAUUAUAUAGAUCUUUCAUUCCCUCUUGUUGUUCUCCUGUUGCUUGGUUGGUUUUUGAUUUUAACACUUUUCUUUCCAAAAUUAGAGCCCAGGUUUUUUCAGAUAUCCAUUCCUUUCUUUCUUUAUUUUUGUAACCUAAGAUGUCUUCACUUGUUUUUAAAUAAAUUUCACUCAUAUGUUGCCAUUUAGAGCUUAUGUCAAUCUCAUUUUCUUCAAGUUGUAAGACCUCAAAUCUGUUCUUCAGUUCUAUAUUGAAGUUUUGUUGUAUUUCAGGUUGUU